GACGAACGCUGGCGGCGUGCUUAACACAUGCAAGUCGAGCGGUAAGGCCCUUUCGGGGGUACACGAGCGGCGAACGGGUGAGUAACACGUGGGUGACCUGCCCUCAGCUCUGGGAUAAGCCUGGGAAACCGGGUCUAAUACUGGAUAUGACUCCAUGACGCAUGUUGUGGGGUGGAAAGCCUUGUGCGGCUGAGGAUGGGCCCGCGGCCUAUCAGCUUGUUGGUGGGGUGANGGCCUACCAAGGCGACGACGGGUAGCCGGCCUGAGAGGGCGACCGGCCACACUGGGACUGAGACACGGCCCAGACUCCUACGGGAGGCAGCAGGUGGGGAAUCUUGCGCAAUGGGCGAAAGCCUGACGCAGCGACGCCGCGUGAGGGAUGACGGCCU
RNAcentral lists this ribosomal RNA (389 nucleotides) under uncultured bacterium. RNAcentral's name for it is "bacterial SSU rRNA". It matches the Rfam family "Bacterial small subunit ribosomal RNA", at positions 28 to 417 of the family's 1533-position model. The record is from RNAcentral.